AACGAACGCUGGCGGCGUGGAUAAGACAUGCAAGUCAAACGAGAGAAUUGCUAGCUUGCUAAUAAUUCUCUAGUGGCGCACGGGUGAGUAACACGUGAGUAACCUGCCCCCGAGAGCGGGAUAGCCCUGGGAAACUGGGAUUAAUACCGCAUAGUAUCGAAAGAUUAAAGCAGCAAUGCGCUUGGGGAUGGGCUCGCGGCCUAUUAGUUAGUUGGUGAGGUAACGGCUCACCAAGGCGAUGACGGGUAGCCGGUCUGAGAGGAUGUCCGGCCACACUGGAACUGAGACACGGUCCAGACACCUACGGGUGGCAGCAGUCGAGAAUCAUUCACAAUGGGGGAAACCCUGAUGGUGCGACGCCGCGUGGGGGAAUGAAGGUCUUCGGAUUGUAAACCCCUGUCAUGUGGGAGCAAAUUAAAAAGAUAGUACCACAAGAGGAAGAGACGGCUAACUCUGUGCCAGCAGCCGCGGUAAUACAGAGGUCUCAAGCGUUGUUCGGAAUCACUGGGCGUAAAGCGUGCGUAGGCUGUUUCGUAAGUCGUGUGUGAAAGGCGCGGGCUCAACCCGCGGACGGCACAUGAUACUGCGAGACUAGAGUAAUGGAGGGGGAACCGGAAUUCUCGGUGUAGCAGUGAAAUGCGUAGAUAUCGAGAGGAACACUCGUGGCGAAGGCGGGUUCCUGGACAUUAACUGACGCUGAGGCACGAAGGCCAGGGGAGCGAAAGAAAUUAGAUACCCCUGUAGUCCUGGCAGUAAACGGUGCACGCUUGGUGUGCGGGGAAUCGACCCCCUGCGUGCCGGAGCUAACGCGUUAAGCGUGCCGCCUGGGGAGUACGGUCGCAAGAUUAAAACUCAAAGAAAUUGACGGGGACCCGCACAAGCGGUGGAGUAUGUGGCUUAAUUCGAUGCAACGCGAAGAACCUUACCUGGGCUUGACAUGUAAUGAACAACAUGUGAAAGCAUGCGACUCUUCGGAGGCGUUACACAGGUGCUGCAUGGCCGUCGUCAGCUCGUGUCGUGAGAUGUUUGGUUAAGUCCAGCAACGAGCGCAACCCCUGUUGCCAGUUACCAGCACGUGAAGGUGGGGACUCUGGCGAGACUGACCAGAUCAACUGGGAGGAAGGUGGGGACGACGUCAGGUCAGUAUGGCCCUUAUGCCCAGGGCUGCACACGUACUACAAUGCCCAGUACAGAGGGGGCCGAAGCCGCGAGGCGGAGGAAAUCCUGAAAACUGGGCCCAGUUCGGACUGUAGGCUGCAACCCGCCUACACGAAGCCGGAAUCGCUAGUAAUGGCGCAUCAGCUACGGCGCCGUGAAUACGUUCCCGGGUCUUGCAC
RNAcentral lists this ribosomal RNA (1337 nucleotides) under uncultured bacterium. RNAcentral describes it as "16S ribosomal RNA". It matches the Rfam family "Bacterial small subunit ribosomal RNA", at positions 28 to 1386 of the family's 1533-position model. The record is from RNAcentral.